This 714-nucleotide ribosomal RNA is filed under the name Salmonella enterica. Its description in RNAcentral is "partial 23S ribosomal RNA". It matches the Rfam family "Bacterial large subunit ribosomal RNA", at positions 2048 to 2760 of the family's 2925-position model. Lineage: Bacteria; Pseudomonadati; Pseudomonadota; Gammaproteobacteria; Enterobacterales; Enterobacteriaceae. The record is from RNAcentral.
CUCGCUGUGAAGAUGCAGUGUACCCGCGGCAAGACGGAAAGACCCCGUGAACCUUUACUAUAGCUUGACACUGAACAUUGAGCCUUGAUGUGUAGGAUAGGUGGGAGGCUUUGAAGUGUGGACGCCAGUCUGCAUGGAGCCGACCUUGAAAUACCACCCUUUAAUGUUUGAUGUUCUAACGUGGACCCGUGAUCCGGGUUGCGGACAGUGUCUGGUGGGUAGUUUGACUGGGGCGGUCUCCUCCUAAAGAGUAACGGAGGAGCACGAAGGUUGGCUAAUCCUGGUCGGACAUCAGGAGGUUAGUGCAAUGGCAUAAGCCAGCUUGACUGCGAGCGUGACGGCGCGAGCAGGUGCGAAAGCAGGUCAUAGUGAUCCGGUGGUUCUGAAUGGAAGGGCCAUCGCUCAACGGAUAAAAGGUACUCCGGGGAUAACAGGCUGAUACCGCCCAAGAGUUCAUAUCGACGGCGGUGUUUGGCACCUCGAUGUCGGCUCAUCACAUCCUGGGGCUGAAGUAGGUCCCAAGGGUAUGGCUGUUCGCCAUUUAAAGUGGUACGCGAGCUGGGUUUAGAACGUCGUGAGACAGUUCGGUCCCUAUCUGCCGUGGGCGCUGGAGAACUGAGGGGGGCUGCUCCUAGUACGAGAGGACCGGAGUGGACGCAUCACUGGUGUUCGGGUUGUCAUGCCAAUGGCACUGCCCGGUAGCUAAAUGCGGAA